UGGGGAAUAUUGGACAAUGGGCGCAAGCCUGAUCCAGCAAUGCCGCGUGUGUGAAGAAGGCCUUCGGGUUGUAAAGCACUUUUAUCAGGAGCGAAACGCUGUCGGCUAAUACCCGGCGGAACUGACGGUACCUGAGGAAUAAGCACCGGCUAACUUCGUGCCAGCAGCCGCGGUAAUACGAAGGGUGCAAGCGUUAAUCGGAAUUACUGGGCGUAAAGCGUGCGUAGGCGGUUUCUUAAGUCUGCUGUGAAAUCCCCGGGCUCAACCUGGGAAUGGCAGUGGAUACUGGGAGGCUAGAGUGUGUCAGAGGGUGGUGGAAUUCCCGGUGUAGCGGUGAAAUGCGUAGAGAUCGGGAGGAACAUCAGUGGCGAAGGCGGCCACCUGGGACAACACUGACGCUGAGGCACGAAAGCGUGGGGAGCAAACAGGAUUAGAUACCCUGGUAGUCCACGCCCUAAAACGAUGCGAACUGGAUGUUGGUCUCAACUCGGAGAUCAGUGUCGAAGCUAACGCGUUAAGUUCGCCGCCUGGGGAGUACGGUCGCAAGACUGAAACUCAAAUGAAUUGAC
Molecule: ribosomal RNA, 569 nt
Filed under: uncultured bacterium
Lineage: Bacteria
Description: partial 16S ribosomal RNA
Rfam family: Bacterial small subunit ribosomal RNA
Source: RNAcentral